This is a non-coding RNA of Hydra vulgaris (swiftwater hydra), 1143 nucleotides long. NCBI's taxonomy places the organism in Eukaryota, Metazoa, Cnidaria, Hydrozoa, Anthoathecata, Hydridae. The record is from RefSeq and is a predicted model, not a curated record.
UGGCAGAGCUUUUACCAUUAAUAAAAGAUCGGAUAAAAUUUAUUCGUCUUUUGAAAACAACAAAACAAUCUGUUUCAGCAACAUUAGAUAAUUCUGAAUCUAGCUAAACUGCAGUUGUAUCAAGUGUUAUCAGUGUAAAUAAUAAAAAGGGCGAAACAACAAACAGUGGCAGUUUUCCAGAAAUUGAAGAAGCUGAAUGUGUACAUAGCCAGGUGCAAGAAUUUCCUUUUGUAUAUCAGUUGCCACUUUUUCCGGAUAAUGUUGUAGCUAAGCUACAAUGUCAAGACAAGGCUAGUUUUGGUUUAGGCUCAAAAAGCAAAGCGCUCUUAAUUGAUGCACUAUUUGAUGACUUAAAAAGGCGUGACAUUUUGUAUCCAACCAGAAGAAUAUAUUCUGCUGUUAGCUCAGCAGUUAUAUUAAAAUAUCCUUUUUUGGCUGAUUAUGAUGGAAGUAGUGUAAUGCAAUUACCAUUAUAUAUUAUUGAUUAUAUUUAUAUUUGUCAUCAAUUGUUAAAUAUUAAAAUUGUAUUGUAAAAUUUAAUAUAUAUGUCUAUUUCACAUUUUAAAUAAGUAAUUUGAGUUUAGAAUACUAUUAGAGUAGCUCUUCGAAGGAAAUUUAAAAAAUACAGGCAACCCCUUUGUAGCGAAAAUUCAAUUGCUGUAACAAGAGAAAAAUUUGGAAGGCCUGGUGUUUCGGGAAGAAAACGAAAAGUAGAUCAAGUUGAAAUUAAUCAUCCUGACAACAUUACCCUCUCAAAAACAGCUCGAGUUAAGUUGGCUAAUGUGGUACAAUGUGAGGAUGACAUAAGCAUAAAAAAACAUCAAGAUGCUUUAAAAAAAGAAAUAAAAAAACAGACACCAAGCUUUGAUAUAAUCAAAGAUAAAAUGAAAAGAACAUGUGAGUACAGACAACUUUUCUGCCAUGCCCACACAACUGCAGAAGUUCUGGAAGAAUUUCCCUGUUUACGACUAAAUAUUUUUUUUACAGCAGAUGUGCUUUUGCUGUAUGGUGUAGAUGUAACCAAUUUAAAAAUGAAAUUUCUAACCCUUUAUGAUGCUGUGAUCAAAGAAGCAGCCAAAGGAUGCAAAAAAUAUUGUGAAUAUUCAAGAAUGAUAAACAAAUAUUUAGAAGAAACUUUGUACA